RNAcentral lists this ribosomal RNA (467 nucleotides) under uncultured Chloroflexus sp. Its description in RNAcentral is "bacterial SSU rRNA". It matches the Rfam family "Bacterial small subunit ribosomal RNA", at positions 20 to 525 of the family's 1533-position model. The record is from RNAcentral. Lineage: Bacteria; Bacillati; Chloroflexota; Chloroflexia; Chloroflexales; Chloroflexaceae.
UGGCUCAGGACGAACGCUGGCGGCGUGCCUAAUGCAUGCAAGUCGAACGCAGCAGGCGUGCCUGGCUGCGUGGCGAACGGCUGAGGAAUACGUGGGUCACCUGCCCCGGAGUGGGGGAUACCCCGUCGAAAGACGGGACAAUCCCGCAUACGCUCGACGGAGGAAAGCCGUAAGGCGCUCUGGGAGGGGCCUGCGGCCCAUCAGGUAGUUGGUGUGGUAACGGCGCACCAAGCCAAUGACGGGUACCCGGUCUGAGAGGACGACCGGGCAGACUGGGACUGAGAAACGGCCCAGACUCCUACGGGAGGCAGCAGCAAGGAAUUUUCCCCAAUGGGCGCAAGCCUGAGGGAGCAACGCCGCGUGGAGGACGACGGCCUUCGGGUUGUAAACUCCUUUCGGGUGGGACGAGACUGACGGUACCACCAGAAGCAGCCCCGGCUAACUCUGUGCCAGCAGCCGCCGUAACG